GAUGAACGCUGGCGGCGUGCCUAAUACAUGCAAGUCGAGCGAACGGACGAGAAGCUUGCUUCUCUGAUGUUAGCGGCGGACGGGUGAGUAACACGUGGAUAACCUACCUAUAAGACUGGGAUAACUUCGGGAAACCGUAGCUAAUACCGGAUAAUAUUUUGAACCGCAUGGUUCAAAAGUGAAAGACGGUCUUGCUGUCACUUAUAGAUGGAUCCGCGCUGCAUUAGAUAGUUGGUAAGGUAACGGCUUACCAAGGCAACGAUGCAUAGCCGACCUGAGAGGGUGAUCGGCCACACUGGAACUGAGACACGGUCCAGACUCCUACGGGAGGCAGCAGUAGGGAAUCUGCCGCAAUGGGCGAAAGCCUGACGGAGCAACGCCGCGUGAGUGAUGAAGGUCUUCGGAUCGUAAAACUCUGUUAUUAGGGAAGAACAUAUGUGUAAGUAACUGUGCACAUCUUGACGGUACCUAAUCAGAAAGCCACGGCUAACUACGUG
This 497-nucleotide ribosomal RNA is filed under the name uncultured bacterium. RNAcentral's name for it is "partial 16S ribosomal RNA". It matches the Rfam family "Bacterial small subunit ribosomal RNA", at positions 28 to 507 of the family's 1533-position model. The record is from RNAcentral.